Myotis daubentonii (Daubenton's bat) is the source of this 182-nucleotide long non-coding RNA. RefSeq lists it as uncharacterized. NCBI's taxonomy places the organism in Eukaryota, Metazoa, Chordata, Mammalia, Chiroptera, Vespertilionidae. The record is from RefSeq and is a predicted model, not a curated record.
CAGGCAGUGAAUCAGAAACAGGAAAUCAGGGUAGAUAAUGGCUAGUAAAAUCAGAGAAAAAUCAGUCAGCAAAGGGCCCAGAAUACUAGUCUGGAGCUCAGAGGCAGCCGAUCAAUGAUUCUCUCUCAUCAUUGAUGUUUCUAUCUCUCCCUCCCCCUUCCUCUCUGAAAUCAAUAAAAAUA